AUAAUCUACCCAGUAAUCCGGGAUAACAUCCCGAAAGAGAUGCUAAUACCUGAUAAGCCCACGAUCUCUUCGGAGAACGAGGGAAAAGGUGGGGACCUUCGGGCCUGCCGUUGCUGGAUGAGUCCGCGGCCCAUUAGCUAGUUGGUAGGGUAAUGGCCUACCAAGGCUACGAUGGGUAGCUGGUCUGAGAGGAUGAUCAGCCACACUGGAACUGAGACACGGUCCAG
Molecule: ribosomal RNA, 227 nt
Filed under: uncultured bacterium
Lineage: Bacteria
Description: partial 16S ribosomal RNA
Rfam family: Bacterial small subunit ribosomal RNA
Source: RNAcentral